Molecule: ribosomal RNA, 797 nt
Filed under: uncultured bacterium
Lineage: Bacteria
Description: bacterial SSU rRNA
Rfam family: Bacterial small subunit ribosomal RNA
Source: RNAcentral
AGGGUUUGAUCCUGGCUCAGAACGAACGCUGGCGGCAGGCCUAACACAUGCAAGUCGAGCGCACCUUCGGGUGAGCGGCGGACGGGUUAGUAACGCGUGGGAACAUACCCUUCUCUACGGAAUAGCCAUUGGAAACGAUGAGUAAUACCGUAUACGCCCUUCGGGGGAAAGAUUUAUCGGAGAUGGAUUGGCCCGCGUUAGAUUAGAUAGUUGGUGGAGUAAUGGCCUACCAAGUCUACGAUCUAUAGCUGGUUUUAGAGGAUGAUCAGCAACACUGGGACUGAGACACGGCCCAGACUCCUACGGGAGGCAGCAGUGGGGAAUCUUAGACAAUGGGCGCAAGCCUGAUCUAGCCAUGCCGCGUGAGUGAUGAAGGCCUUAGGGUCGUAAAGCUCUUUCGCUAGGGAUGAUAAUGACAGUACCUAGUAAAGAAGCCCCGGCUAACUCCGUGCCAGCAGCCGCGGUAAUACGGAGGGGGCUAGCGUUGUUCGGAAUUACUGGGCGUAAAGCGUACGUAGGCGGAUCAGAAAGUAUGGGGUGAAAUCCCAGGGCUUAACCCUGGAACUGCCUCAUAAACUCCUGGUCUUGAGUUCGAGAGAGGUGAGUGGAAUUCCGAGUGUAGAGGUGAAAUUCGUAGAUAUUUGGAGGAACACCAGUGGCGAAGGCGGCUCACUGGCUCGAUACUGACGCUGAGGUACGAAAGUGUGGGGAGCAAACAGGAUUAGAUACCCUGGUAGUCCACACCGUAAACNAUGAAUGCCANACGUCGGGCAGUAUACUGUUCGGUGUCACACCUA